GUCAAUCUCCUUGGUACCAACUUGGAAAGCUUUAGUCAAGACAUUGUCAGGAACUGCUGGGGUUGAAGUAAACAAGGUCAUGGCAAUGGACUGGGUACCAGGCAACUGACUAUUGAAUGCUGAAAUUACAGAGGCUGCCUUGUCACCGUUGUUCUUCUGGAAAUGAACUAAACCUCUAGGGAACACAAAGACUUCGCCUUUCUUGACAGUCUUUGAGAUCAAUUUGUUUGCAGUGGUGAUAAAUCCAACAUCCAGUUCACCUUCCAACACAAAGAUCAUUUCAGUGGCUCGGGGGUGAGUGUGAGGUGGGUUAAGGCCGUCAGGUGCAUAGUCAAUACGAGACAGUGACACGCCUAGGGUGUUUAGGCCUGGGAUUUUCUCAACAUUGCCUCCUGUUACAAGUGAUCCUACUGAAUUGUUAACUUUUCCUGGUUUGGCUAGAC
RNAcentral lists this long non-coding RNA (443 nucleotides) under Populus trichocarpa (black cottonwood). RNAcentral describes it as "long non-coding RNA (PTRI_LNC000699)". The record is from RNAcentral. Lineage: Eukaryota; Viridiplantae; Streptophyta; Magnoliopsida; Malpighiales; Salicaceae.